RNAcentral lists this ribosomal RNA (442 nucleotides) under uncultured bacterium. RNAcentral describes it as "partial 16S ribosomal RNA". It matches the Rfam family "Bacterial small subunit ribosomal RNA", at positions 338 to 795 of the family's 1533-position model. The record is from RNAcentral.
CCUACGGGAGUCAGCAGUAGGGAAUCUUUCACAAUGGGCGAACGCCUGAUGGAGCAACGCCGCGUGCAGGAUGAAGGCCUUCGGGUUGUAAACUGCUUUUAUAAGCGAGAAAUAUGAUGGUAACUUAUGAAUAAGGAUCGGCUAACUACGUGCCAGCAGCCGCGGUCAUACGUAGGAUCCGAGCAUUAUCCGGAGUGACUGGGUGUAAAGAGUUGCGUAGGUGGCAUAAUAAGUAGCUAGUGAAAUCUGGUGGCUCAACCAUUCAGACUAUUAGCUAAACUGUUAAGCGAGAGACCGUGAGGGGUAAGUGGAAUUUCUAGUGUAGGAGUGAAAACCGUAGAUAUUAGAAGGAACACUAAUAGAGUAGGCAGGUUGCUGGGACGGUUCUGACACUAAGGCACGAAAGCGUAGGGAGCAAACGGGAUUAGAUACCCUUGUAGUC